Bradysia coprophila is the source of this 120-nucleotide small nuclear RNA. RefSeq annotates it as U5 spliceosomal RNA. The record is from RefSeq and is a predicted model, not a curated record. Lineage: Eukaryota; Metazoa; Arthropoda; Insecta; Diptera; Sciaridae.
UCAUGUGUUGUUCUCUUCAGAUAUCAAAUAAAUCUUUAGCCUUUUACGAAAGAUUUCUGUGAAAGGAUCACUCUAAUAAGUCUAAGCCCAAUUUUUGGGAAAGUUGGUUGUUUAUGAUGU